UUUGAAAAUUUUGACUUUUUGACGAUGAAUAGUAAAAUACUGCUAUUUCGUCUUUUUGUCGACUUUCAAAAUCUUACGUGCACGUCGUCGAGAAAUAUUCUUAGUUUUUCGAUACAAGUCCAAUAAUGAAAGUUUUUAUUUUUGGACGACGAGUGAAUAGUAAAUCGGGAUUUCUCGAUAAACGAACCGAGCUCGUUUAUCAGAAUUUUGAGAACGAGCUUGCGUUUUCUAUAUUUAUAUAGAAUUACGAGUGCAAUGAAAGUGAGUAGAGGUUGAGAGGGCGAGUAACAAAGAGUAUGGGUUGUUAGUUGUUAAAACGAGACGAUACGAGAUAUUUAACGACUAACGGGUUAAUAUCCUAAAUAUCUAACCUACCCUACCCCUAACCACCCCCAAACCUCCCAAAACCCCUUUCCCCUCACUAACUCACGCUAUAUCAGCCCACACCACACACACAACUCACAUAUUCACACACACAACACCUAAAACACACACUACACACGCCAUUUUCCAUUUAAGCUUGGACGGAGCUUUUGACCUCCGAUUUGAGCACCGAGACAAGCGCCGAUCAUCUUUUCGAUCACGUAUCUAAGUAGGUCCUUUUGGGAAGUAACGACUUGAGGGAGAGAGUGACGUUACUCAUUGAUACAGAGACACAACGAGGUUGAGCUGAUGUGAUGAUGGUGCUGCAAUGAGCGGAGUCUCCAGGGUUGUUAAUAAAUAGUUAACCUGUCUAGAAUAUGUCUUCAUACAUAUGUCUAGCUACUUUCCGCUGCAAGAUGUUGUUGAUGUUAUAGUAUGUUAUGUCAUACUUUGAGUCUUAAGAGAAUGGUUGCAUAUGAUGUAUAACUUGAUUAAUGAUAUUAAUUAACUUUUAUGCAGUCUUUCAGACUGUUUUCAAUUGAGUAUUAAUGAAUAAAAAUGACGAGUUUUAUUAA
Molecule: long non-coding RNA, 938 nt
Organism: Salvia miltiorrhiza (redroot sage)
Lineage: Eukaryota; Viridiplantae; Streptophyta; Magnoliopsida; Lamiales; Lamiaceae
Exons: 3
Source: RefSeq, a predicted model, not a curated record